AGAGUUUGAUCAUGGCUCAGAUUGAACGCUGGCGGCAGGCCUAACACAUGCAAGUCGAACGGUAACAGGAAACAGCUUGCUGUUUCGCUGACGAGUGGCGGACGGGUGAGUAAUGUCUGGGAAACUGCCUGAUGGAGGGGGAUAACUACUGGAAACGGUAGCUAAUACCGCAUAACGUCGCAAGACCAAAGAGGGGGACCUUCGGGCCUCUUGCCAUCGGAUGUGCCCAGAUGGGAUUAGCUUGUUGGUGGGGUAACGGCUCACCAAGGCGACGAUCCCUAGCUGGUCUGAGAGGAUGACCAGCCACACUGGAACUGAGACACGGUCCAGACUCCUACGGGAGGCAGCAGUGGGGAAUAUUGCACAAUGGGCGCAAGCCUGAUGCAGCCAUGCCGCGUGUAUGAAGAAGGCCUUCGGGUUGUAAAGUACUUUCAGCGGGGAGGAAGGGAGUAAAGUUAAUACCUUUGCUCAUUGACGUUACCCGCAGAAGAAGCACCGGCUAACUCCGUGCCAGCAGCCGCGGUAAUACGGAGGGUGCAAGCGUUAAUCGGAAUUACUGGGCGUAAAGCGCACGCAGGCGGUUUGUUAAGUCAGAUGUGAAAUCCCCGGGCUCAACCUGGGAACUGCAUCUGAUACUGGCAAGCUUGAGUCUCGUAGAGGGGGGUAGAAUUCCAGGUGUAGCGGUGAAAUGCGUAGAGAUCUGGAGGAAUACCGGUGGCGAAGGCGGCCCCCUGGACGAAGACUGACGCUCAGGUGCGAAAGCGUGGGGAGCAAACAGGAUUAGAUACCCUGGUAGUCCACGCCGUAAACGAUGUCGACUUGGAGGUUGNACUGCUCUUUAACAAUUUAUCAGACAAUCUGUGUGGGCACUCGAAGAUACGGAUUCUUAACGUCGCAAGACGAAAAAUGAAUACCAAGUCUCAAGAGUGAACACGUAAUUCAUUACGAAGUUUAAUUCUUUGAGCAUCAAACUUUU
RNAcentral lists this ribosomal RNA (976 nucleotides) under Escherichia coli. Its description in RNAcentral is "bacterial SSU rRNA". The stretch from base 2 to 836 matches the Rfam family "Bacterial small subunit ribosomal RNA", at positions 9 to 873 of the family's 1533-position model. The record is from RNAcentral. Lineage: Bacteria; Pseudomonadati; Pseudomonadota; Gammaproteobacteria; Enterobacterales; Enterobacteriaceae.